GCCGCGACCCGUUGCUGGGGACGUCGAAGGCCCGGGUGGACUGGUACCCCGACGCCGUGCUGCUUUAGUAGCAUGACGAAGGGGGAAACCUCCGGUGUCCUGGCUGCCCUGCGACGGUCGUGCAGAUGAGGGGCGAAUAAACGUCACUCUCGCGGCGUGCAAAAGGUCGGUGACCCACCCGACCCGUCUUGAAACACGGACCAAGGAGUCUAACAUGUGUGCGAGUCAUUGGGUGCACUAAACCCAGAGGCGUAAUGAAAGUGAAAGGUGGGCGUCCCGGGGUUCCCUCACUGAGGGGGUUCCGGUCGGCGCCUACCGGGGCCGAUCCUCGACAUGCCGUCGCUUCGCCGGUGUUUCUUCCCACACCAAAGCGGGGCCGCCAAGACGGGGCUGCUGGCGCGGGGUGAGAACCUUUCCCUCGUGGCCUAGCCUCCGGUCCCGUGGGUACCCGGCGAGCGCGACAGUCCGGCUGCUGCUGUUGUCGGACCUGUUGAAGGCCAUAGCAAUAGUAGAAGCCGCCUGUACGCAGGGGGGCGCAGGCCCGGGACUUGCCAUUUGACGCCGUCGCGUAAAUCUGUUGUUGGCCUCGCCGGCUCUGCUUGGGCUCUCGGUUGGCGGGCCGCGCGCCAGGCGGCGGGCUUUAGGAGGAGGGCAUACACUGUCCAAGUCCGGGUCCGUCCGUCACGCGCGGUUUUUGCCUUCCG
This 704-nucleotide ribosomal RNA is filed under the name Nanhaipotamon wenzhouense. RNAcentral's name for it is "partial 28S ribosomal RNA". The record is from RNAcentral. Lineage: Eukaryota; Metazoa; Arthropoda; Malacostraca; Decapoda; Potamidae.